Molecule: ribosomal RNA, 253 nt
Filed under: uncultured bacterium
Lineage: Bacteria
Description: partial 16S ribosomal RNA
Rfam family: Bacterial small subunit ribosomal RNA
Source: RNAcentral
UACGAAGGUCCCAAGCGUUGUUCGGAAUCACUGGGCGUAAAGAGUAUGUAGGCGGUCUGGAAAGUCAGGUGUGAAAGCCCGGGGCUCAACCUCGGAACUGCACCCGAUACUCCCAGACUAGAGUAAUGGAGGGGUAACUGGAAUUCUCGGUGUAGCAGUGAAAUGCGUAGAUAUCGAGAGGAACACUCGUGGCGAAGGCGAGUUACUGGACAUUUACUGACGCUGAGAUACGAAGGCUAGGGUAGCGAAAGGG